This 254-nucleotide ribosomal RNA is filed under the name uncultured bacterium. Its description in RNAcentral is "partial 16S ribosomal RNA". It matches the Rfam family "Bacterial small subunit ribosomal RNA", at positions 524 to 776 of the family's 1533-position model. The record is from RNAcentral.
UACGUAGGGGGCAAGCGUUGUUCGGAAUGACUGGGCGUAAAGGGUGCGUAGGCGGUGUAGCAAGUUAGAAGUGAAAUACCUAGAGCUUAACUCAGGUGCUGCUUCUAAAACUGCUAUACUUGAGUGCAGUAGAGGAAAGUGGAAUUCCUAGUGUAGCGGUGAAAUGCGUAGAUAUAUGGAGGAACACCGGUGGCGAAAGCGGCUCUCUGGCCUGUAACUGACACUGAGGCUCGAAAGCGUGGGGAGCAAACAGG